RNAcentral lists this ribosomal RNA (253 nucleotides) under uncultured bacterium. RNAcentral describes it as "partial 16S ribosomal RNA". It matches the Rfam family "Bacterial small subunit ribosomal RNA", at positions 524 to 776 of the family's 1533-position model. The record is from RNAcentral.
UACGUAGGGUGCAAGCGUUGUCCGGAAUUAUUGGGCGUAAAGAGCUCGUAGGCGGUCUGUCGCGUCCGUUGUGAAAACUCGAGGCUCAACCUCGGGCUUGCAGUGGAUACGGGCAGACUAGAGUGCGGUAGGGGAGACUGGAAUUCCUGGUGUAGCGGUGGAAUGCGCAGAUAUCGAGAGGAACACCAGUGGCGAAGGCGAGUCUCUGGACAAUUCCUGACGCUGAGGCACGAAAGCUAGGGGAGCAAACAGG